CAAAAUAAAAGAUUAAUGAACAUUAAAAUUACAAUGCAAAUUAAAACAACAGUGAAAUACACUAACUGAUACCAUCAAAUUGGCUAGGAUUUAAGAGUCUAGCAAUAGCGGCCUUUGAGGUGCUUUAGGCGGCUUGCCUUGGUCUCAGAAUCGCUGCCGCCAUGGCUAGUCAGUCACAGGGCAUUCAGCAGCUGCUGCAGGCCGAGAAGCGGGCAGCCGAGGUGUCUCUGAGGCCUGUAAAAGAAGGAACCGGAAGCUGAAGCAGGCUAUAGAAGCAGCUCAGGCUGAAAUUGAACAGUACCGCCUGCUGAGGGAGAAAGAAUUCAAGGCCAAGGAAGCUGCGGCACUGGGAUCCCAUGGCAGUUGUAGCACUGAAGUGGAGAAGGAGACCCAGGAGAAGAUGACCAUCCUCCAGGCCUGCUUCCAGCAGAACAGGGAUGAAGUCUUGGAUAACCUCUUGGCUUUUGUCUGUGACAUUCAGCCAGAAAUCCAUGAAAACUACCGCAUAAAUGGAUAGAAGAAGAGAGAACACCUGUUCUGUGGAGUGGCAUUUUAGAUGCCCUCAUGAAUAUGAAGCUUUAGCACAGCUCUAGUUAUAUUCUUAUGAAAUGGCAUUAAAUUAUUUCCAUAUAUUAUAUAGUAGGUCCUUCCACUUUUUGGACAGUAGCAAAUCUAGCUUUUUUGUACAGACUUAGAAAUUAAAGAUUUCAUCUUUUUACCUCAUAUUUCUUAGGAAUUUAAUGGGUAUAUGUUGUCUUUUUUUCCUAUGCCUUUUGGCUCAAGCAACAUGUAUAUCACUGUUGACUUUUUCUUUCUUAGAUCUAGUUUUAAAAAAAAACACCACAUAACCAUUCUUUGAAGAAAGGAAGGGAUUAAAUAUUUUUUUUCCCUAACACUUUCUUGAAGGUCGGGGCUUUAUCUACGAAAAAGUAGUAAAUAGUUCUUUGUAACCUGUGUGAAGCAGCAGUCAGCCUUAACAUAGUCCAUUCUUGCUAAUGGUUAGAACAGUGAAUACUAGUGGAAUUAUCUGGGGCUGCUUUUAGUUUCUCUUAAUCAAAAUCACUAGAUGAUAGAAUUCAAGAACUUGUUACAUGUUAUUACUUGGUGUAUCAGUAAUCAUUUAAAAGUAAAGACUCUGUCAUGCAAAAAAAAAAAAAAAAAAG
Molecule: RNA transcript, 1163 nt
Organism: Cercocebus atys (sooty mangabey)
Lineage: Eukaryota; Metazoa; Chordata; Mammalia; Primates; Cercopithecidae
Gene name: V-type proton ATPase subunit G 1 pseudogene
Exons: 1
Source: RefSeq, a predicted model, not a curated record